This 72-nucleotide transfer RNA is filed under the name Camelus ferus (Wild Bactrian camel). It matches the Rfam family "tRNA". From Rfam's summary of the family: Transfer RNA (tRNA) molecules are approximately 80 nucleotides in length. The record is from Rfam by way of RNAcentral. Lineage: Eukaryota; Metazoa; Chordata; Mammalia; Artiodactyla; Camelidae.
GGAGGGUUAGCUCAGUGGUAGAGUGCAUGCUUGGCAUGCACGAGGGCCUGGGUUCAAUCCCCAGUAUCUCCA